This 495-nucleotide ribosomal RNA is filed under the name uncultured bacterium. RNAcentral's name for it is "partial 16S ribosomal RNA". It matches the Rfam family "Bacterial small subunit ribosomal RNA", at positions 28 to 507 of the family's 1533-position model. The record is from RNAcentral.
GACGAACGCUGGCGGCGUGCCUAAUACAUGCAAGUAGAACGCUGAAGGAGGAGCUUGCUCUUCUGGAUGAGUUGCGAACGGGUGAGUAACGCGUAGGUAACCUGCCUGGUAGCGGGGGAUAACUAUUGGAAACGAUAGCUAAUACCGCAUAACAGUAGAUGUUGCAUGACAUUUACUUAAAAGGUGCAAUUGCAUCACUACCAGAUGGACCUGCGUUGUAUUAGCUAGUUGGUGGGGUAACGGCUCACCAAGGCGACGAUACAUAGCCGACCUGAGAGGGGGAUCGGCCACACUGAGACUGAGACACGGCCCAGACUCCUACGGGAGGCAGCAGUAGGGAAUCUUCGGCAAUGGACGGAAGUCUGACCGAGCAACGCCGCGUGAGUGAAGAAGGUUUUCGGAUCGUAAAGCUCUGUUGUAAGAGAAGAACGAGUGUGAGAGUGGAAAGUUCACACUGUGACGGUAUCUUACCAGAAAGGGACGGCUAACUACGUG